AGCAGGAUUGACAAUCCUUCUGCGCCUAACCCAUUCCAGUCCAUUGACUAGAGCUACUCCAUUCCCUGUCAGUGCCUGUAUUGCAGGACUACACUUGGGCUUCACAUAGAAACCAAACUUGUUGGAUAGUAUUUGCUUGGCCAGAUCAGGGUCCGUUAUGCAAACCACUGGCCUCGUCCCAAACCAAUAAAGAAUUGUUUCUCCUGGCUCAUAAAAUACAUCAAUGCUCUAUCAUAUACAACACUACAGUACCUAACUAGUAGGCUAGUAGCUUAUUAAUCUCAUGAAUUAUAUCUAGCAGAGAACAUGCGUGAGGAUGAGGCCAAAAACACAGCUACGCAGUAAGACCACAGGCCCUCAAAUUAUUUAUUAUUAUUCUUGUUAAAACAGUGCAAAAGUUGAAAGCAUUAAUCAAGUUUAGUGCCUCAAUUAAAAACUGCAAAUGGGGUAUCCCUUUAUGGAUGUUGCUGUUCCUUUAUUCUUCACUACCACUGCUUACCCAAUAUUUUAAUAGCAAGAUACUUUGACAUAAAAGGACAGCUUUUUGUAUUAAAUAAUGUUAGUCGCUUUAAAAUCCGGAUUUCCAGAGAAAUUUAUU
RNAcentral lists this unclassified non-coding RNA (598 nucleotides) under Hevea brasiliensis (rubber tree). Lineage: Eukaryota; Viridiplantae; Streptophyta; Magnoliopsida; Malpighiales; Euphorbiaceae. The record is from RNAcentral.